Molecule: non-coding RNA, 4392 nt
Organism: Dermacentor andersoni
Lineage: Eukaryota; Metazoa; Arthropoda; Arachnida; Ixodida; Ixodidae
Source: RefSeq, a predicted model, not a curated record
UAGCUGAUAUUCUGGUUGACAUUAAACGAAGAAGUCGUGCUGGGCAUACAUUGCAAAGCGUAAGGGAGAGAACUGCUGGUCUAUUGGAGUUGCAGAAUGGGUGCUAAGGGAAGGGAAGUACAGUCGAGAACGGCAGAGAAUAAUGUGGACGUGAUGGAAUUGGGAAACUUAAAGACACGUGGAACCAGUUAGCACAAGACAGGGGUAUUGGAGAUCGCUGGAGAAGCUUUCGUCCUGCGAUGGACGUCAAAAUAAGCUGAUGAUGAUGAUGAUUAUGUGACGACAUCCAUGCCAGCUUCGCGGCAUGUCAUUCAUGUUAUGUCAUGCAUGCGUGUCAUGCACGUUCUGAUAGCUCGAUUUACGUCGAUUGCGGGGGGGGGGGGGGGAGGGGGCGAAGGAGUAACGGCGUGGCCAAGUGGGGCACGCCGGGCACUUGUAACGCUCACUAACAGUAAAUUUUUUGCUACUAUGACAAUGGCCGCGCCCUUCCUCCUCCACGGUCAAUUGGGACCCCCCCCCCCCCCUUCACACGCAAAAAUUUUCUGGCUACGCCACUGUGGGGAGGGGGGUGUAAGAUUGCUCUAGACCCCUCCCCCUAACUUGUAAACGGAAACGGGGGAGGGGAGGGCAGCUGCCGCCGGGCCGCAAACCUUAGGCAGCCAAAUUACCGGCUGCAUUUCCCUUUGGACGUGAAUACUGCUCUAAUGUCAUUACACUGUAGGAUUCGUGGCAGUUCGAGGGCAUGCGACAAUAAAAAAAAAACAUACAGCCACCAGCAAGGCUUAGCUUGAGCAGAUCUUUGGGAGCGGGGCAAGACUCUCACAAAAAAAAAAAUAAGCUUGGCACCCCUCUUACAUGCAUUGUCAACUCUGGGUCACCGCUGACUGCACAUUUCCGGUAAAAAAAAAAAUCACACAGGAACUCCUCUCGGAUUUGUCUAAGUAUGUGUAAGCAUUGUGACUCUUCCUCAUCUACACGCAGUCCAUGUCGUUAUUAAUGUUAUGAGACUUGAUCCGACGACUAUAAGCGACAGCGCUGCGGCGACACGAACUGCUGAGGUCGGCGGCGCCAAGUGAAUGGUGCAAGCAAAGUACUGCAGGUGGCGGGGCCAGGUGCGCUGGUGAAGUUCUGUUCGUUUUGAGCCGUUAUCGCUCUUUAGCCCUUCUCAUCCGCGUCGAACCAUUAUCAACCGUUCUCCGGCGGCGGCUGCUUGUGGCCCGGCCGCGCGAACCGUAUCUUGAAAGCGAACAGCAUUGUGGACAGAGUGUGCCCACUGCUGAAAACUUCGUGCGCUGUGUUCUCGCCGUUUACUUCGCUUUGAAAACAGACGCGCGUACACCUAUCUUGAAAGUGAUCUGCAAAAAGCGCAUAGCUGAAAGCUUCGUGAGCGCAGUGUUCUCGCCGCUUCGGUCGCGUUGAAGCGAGAGCUAGCACGAAGGUGAAUUCACUCGCUGCUGCGGGUUCUAUUUUGAAAGAUAUCGUGCGGUACGGAAUGACGGACGGAUGGUUUUUCUUGUUGGGUAAGUAUAGAAUGCUUACGUUAUAAAAAAAAAAAAUCGCAGGGUUCGCGAAUUUCGCGAUAACAACCAACACCAACCUACUCCCCCGCCCCACGCUGAGCGAUGCAGUCUUGAUCGCCCCCUCCCAACCCCGGGAAAAGGGACACUACCUCUCUAUCUCAGUUGAAGAAACGAUGAUGAAACGUUAACAACGACAAGAACGACAUUUCCUAACGAGUUGUCUUAUGGCCUCCGAGAUUUGCGCGCGCGAACCUGGGAGGCCAUAAUUGGCCGCUUAAUAGCAUAAAAAGACAAAAAGAUAAUGCCAAACGGCACAUUUUAAAAAUUCAAACAACGUACUGAUCUUAGCUAUACUGUUUGGGGAAAAGAAAUAAAAAAAUAGACAGCCGUAACACACGCUACUAAAGCCACCACCGCCGGCAUAACGCGGAACCAACAGUUGGCAACAUUGCUUCGUCCGCUUCGUCUCCGCAACGAGAGCCGCCAUCCUUUCGCGCCGGCCGUUUUGUCAUAGUUCUGUUUUUCUGCAAGUCCGUGCACGCAGCUCAUCGGUAGAUGCACGGGUGCACGGCGUCGCAUUGCGACCUGCGGCAUUUUCUCGUGUUUGCGCAAUCGGUGUGAAACAUGUCGCAUGUGAAAUAUUUGAUAGAAGUGCCUCACGUCCAAGUCAAGCCGCCGUACGAGUGUAUGGCUGUGUGCCCCGUUCUCGGAAGCGUCGACGGGUUUCCGGCAUGCGGAUUUCAGCGUUUGGACUCGACUUUUGGUGAGGAUGUCGAUCGACCUUGGGCCUGGUGACAGCACACCCGACAUGGCCAAAGUGCAGCCUAUCAGUUUAGUGCCCCCGAAUGGACCAUCAGCAUGGGAAAAUGAAGCAGAGCCAGGGGGAAAAGGUUCCGGUAACACCAUGCAUUCAGUAUGGUGGCCCAGACGUGUAUGCAAGCAACCUCCUUCACGUGGACCAAGAACUACUCUGCAGUGUCUCGCAGACUUCCAUGCGAAGCCCUCAACAUUCUCGUCUCAGUGGAAUGGCUGCUCAUCUAUCUGCGUGUCCAUCACCAAGACGGCCAGUUGUAAAGCUCCUGUACCCGUUUAAGAAAGCUUAAUGAUUUUUUAUUUAGUUUUCACGGUUGGCCGUAGAAUCUUACCAUUUUUGAUGUUUCUAACAUUUUUACCUGGCACAAAGUGGUGCAAUAACUUUAAACCAGUGUAAUGUAUUUAAGUGAUGCUCACUCUAAUGUCUAUCUGGUUUUGUUAGUGUUUAAGAAAUUUCAAUGUCUGAUCAGGUAACAGCAUUUGAAUUUGUCAUCGUGGCUCGUUUCAAUGAGCUGCUAGGAAAUAAGACGCAAAACUUAUCACCCGCCAGUUGUAGCAUUUUUUUUUUCAUGACUACAGUAUACACGUUUCAAAAGAUGGAAAGUGGGGAAAAAAGCCUCAAGAACAUAAUCAUCCUAGGAUUGUCAUGUCCUUACAACUCUGCAAGGACUAAUGCCUCAUACAUCUUGGGAGCACAUUGGUCGCAAUGCCUACAGGUAUACUUGAUAAGAGAAUAGCUUGCACCCAGAUUUGCCACACAGUUGAUGGCUGAUGGCUUUUGUUUGUCGACUUCAUGUUACUACUAUGUAUUCAAUAUUCAUUUAGGUGUAAAGGACACUACAGGCACUGAAGUACCAAAUGGCACUUGCAUUUCAGGGGACAAAGUGCCCGGCAUACCUGUCAGAAAACGUGUUCUAGGGGCUACCUUGCCUCUAUAGGUAAAUCGACACCAGAUGCUCUGUGUAUAGUGUAAUCAGUGUACUUGUCUGGAGUGCUUGAAAGAUGUGCUACGGGCUGUACUGGCACUGUCUGAAGAUAAUGCAUGGUUCUAGAAAGCCUGCAGCUGAGCAUCUGCCACCAUACUGAAGGAACUGUACUAAUUUAUUGUGUUGAUGUUGAAAUUUAGGAGCUGCAAUGAAUAGUUGUAAAUGUGGCAGCGUUGCCAAACUAAAGAACAAAUUACACACCUCGACUCACACAAUGCACUCUGAAAGUUUUUCUACGUGGUAUCUGUGUUUGCAGCCUGACCUUAUGGCACCUUUACGAGCAAUGGCAGGUGAUUGUAGCUGCUGAGGCUUUAUCAACUGGCAAGUUGAAAAAAGAAUGCUGUGCCACCAGUGUGGCUGCACAUUCCAAGAUGCAAGCUAUCUUGAACCAGGUGUUCGGCAGACAGUACAUGUGCAGCCAAAACAUGGUGUUUGAGCCCUAUAGGCAACUAGGGUUCACAACUGCCCACAAGUGUGCUGUCAUAACAGAAAGUUGAGAACAAGCAGCAUUUUUACCGGUGUUCGAAACAUCAGUGAAAGUCAUUCUUUCACCAAGGCUGGUAAUCAUGCAUAUGUAACGAGAACAGGGCAUUUGUUACACACAAGGGGUCAUGUGUCAAGUUUAAUUAGAUCAGUAAUCUAUGAGAUGGAUUUAUCAAAAGUAUACCUUUUGUUCCUCAGUGGUCUCUUGGAGAGAUGACCAUUUUCGGCAGUUUAGUUUUGACUUUUUAUGUCUAGAUUUGGUGUGCAUAUUUCAACUAUAGCUAACAGUCAGUGCUCUGUCCUGCCCAGUUUUUAUGUUGUCUUUGUGAUAUCUGCAAUAUUUUGCAGUUCAGCUGCAAAAUAUUGUCUAUACUAUUAUAUAUUGUCUAUGCAAGUAUAUGUCUUUACUAUUACUAGUUUGCAUGUUCAACUUUUGUGCAGUGCUCACUAGUUAUUACUAGCCAUGUUUUGUUCACAUAUGCUCUUGGAUUGUUGCGCGAAGUGACACAGACACAGACUGCAAGCAGACAGGACGAGCGCUAACUUUCAGCUAACUAUAAAUAUAUAUAUAUAUAUAUAUAUAUAUAUAU